Molecule: ribosomal RNA, 637 nt
Filed under: uncultured marine archaeon
Lineage: Archaea
Description: bacterial SSU rRNA
Rfam family: Archaeal small subunit ribosomal RNA
Source: RNAcentral
GCACUGACUGCUAUCGGAUUGAUACUAAGCCAUGCGAGUCUUGUAGUAAUACAAGGCAGACGGCUCAGCAACGCGUAGUCAACCUAACCUAUGGACGGGGAUAAUCUCGGGAAACUGAGCAUAAUACCCGAUAGAACAUUAUGCCUGGAAUGGUUUAUGUUCCAAAUGAUUUAUCGCCGUAGGAUGGGACUGCGGCCUAUCAGUUUGUUGGUGAGGUAAUGGCCCACCAAGACUAUUACAGGUACGGGCUCUGAGAGGAGUAGCCCGGAGAUGGGUACUGAGACACGGACCCAGGCCCUAUGGGGCGCAGCAGGCGAGAAAACUUUGCAAUGUGCGAAAGCACGACAAGGUUAAUCCGAGUGGUUUCUGCUAAAGGAACCUUUUGACAGUCUUAGAAACACUGUUGAAUAAGGGGUGGGCAAGUUCUGGUGUCAGCCGCCGCGGUAAAACCAGCACCUCAAGUGGUCAGGAUGAUUAUUGGGCCUAAAGCAUCCGUAGCCGGCUCUGUAAGUUUUCGGUUAAAUCUGUACGCUCAACGUACAGGCUGCCGGGAAUACUGCAGAGCUAGGGAGUGGGAGAGGUAGACGGUACCCCGGUAGGAAGGGGUAAAAUCCUUUGAUCUAUUGAUGACCCCCUU